UAGGGAAUCUUCCACAAUGGACGAAAGUCUGGUGGAGCAACGCCGCGUGAGUGAAGAAGGGUUUCGGCUCGUAAAACUCUGUUGUUAAAGAAGAACAUAUCUGAGAGUAACUGUUCAGGUAUUGACGGUAUUUAACCAGAAAGCCACGGCUAACUACGUACCAG
RNAcentral lists this ribosomal RNA (164 nucleotides) under uncultured bacterium. Its description in RNAcentral is "partial 16S rRNA". It matches the Rfam family "Bacterial small subunit ribosomal RNA", at positions 355 to 511 of the family's 1533-position model. The record is from RNAcentral.